This 492-nucleotide ribosomal RNA is filed under the name uncultured bacterium. RNAcentral describes it as "partial 16S ribosomal RNA". It matches the Rfam family "Bacterial small subunit ribosomal RNA", at positions 30 to 507 of the family's 1533-position model. The record is from RNAcentral.
AUUGAACGCUGGCGGCAUGCUUUACAUAUGCAAGUCGAACGGUAACAGGCCUUCGGGUGCUGACGAGUGGCGAACGGGUGAGUAAUGCAUCGGAACGUGCCCAGAGGUGGGGGAUAACGCAGCGAAAGCUGUGCUAAUACCGCAUGUGAUCUGAGGAUGAAAGCGGGGGACCAAGCAGCAAUGUUUGGCCUCGCGCCUCUGGGGCGGCCGAUGUCAGAUUAGGUAGUUGGUGGGGUAAAGGCCUACCAAGCCGACGAUCUGUAGCUGGUCUGAGAGGACGACCAGCCACACUGGGACUGAGACACGGCCCAGACUCCUACGGGAGGCAGCAGUGGGGAAUUUUGGACAAUGGGCGCAAGCCUGAUCCAGCAAUGCCGCGUGCGGGAAGAAGGCCUUCGGGUUGUAAACCGCUUUUGUACGGAACGAAAAGGCUCUGGCUAAUACCUGGGGCUGAUGACGGUACCGUAAGAAUAAGCACCGGCUAACUACGUG